GCCAGUGUGGCGAAGUGGUUUGAGCAUUGGGCUGCAACUCUGGAGACUAGGGUUCGAUUCCCGCUUAGCCA
This 71-nucleotide transfer RNA is filed under the name Phrynosoma platyrhinos (Desert horned lizard). RNAcentral's name for it is "tRNA-OTHER". The record is from RNAcentral. Lineage: Eukaryota; Metazoa; Chordata; Lepidosauria; Squamata; Phrynosomatidae.